CUUGGUUUCUUUGCUGCUUUUAGGUCAGCAUGCUCCAUCCAAUGCUUAGGACACCACUGAGCUCCUGGAAAAAUAACCAUUUUGAACUGCACCAAAAUAUGAGUUUGGGGUGCUUGCUUUUUUUUUUUUGCAUGGUGAGGAGGGAUGAAGGAAAGAGAAGAGAGUGAUUAAACCCAUUGCUCUGGGAGCUUUAUCCUCCUGGGCCAACAACAUUUUUCAGAAGCAGUGAGAAAGUGGAGUGUAAUGCUAAAAUUUGCUUUGUCAGUGGCCAGCAGUCACUGUGGCAGGCAACAACUGACGCUGUGUUGUGCAGGAUAGAGGUCUAACCAUGUUUAACCGUGGAAGAAGUGGAGGAUAAAAGGAAAGUAAACCUCCAGAAACCUUGAAAUGUGUGUGAGAGGAAGCCCAGUAAUUCAACCAGAGUAGUUAGUGCCAGAAAUGGUGUCAAAGCAAUCAGCUAGAAUUAGGGGAGGCAGAAAUGUUCAGUAAUGUGAGAUAUGACUUGAUUGUAGCUUCCAGCUAUCCUCCAGCUCAUGGCAUUCCUUCCUGCUGUCACAGCAUCCUUGUUUCCAGGUAAGGAUACUGAGCAGAGUUCCCUUUACUGAUAGGAAGCAAACAACAGAGGUGCUUGGCUUUUUCAAAUUAACUUUAUGGAUAAGCUGUGCUGCGUUUGUGUUCUUGGUGUUCUUGGUUCUUUCUUUUUUUUUUUUUUUUUUUUUUUUUUUUUGACAGUCAAAACUCAAGAAGAAAAAAAUAAAGGAAGGGAGUUCAGAGAGAAAACCACAAUAGAAGGAAAAGCAAAUAGCACGAGACACCUUCUUGUCACAGCAAAGACAUUGGAUGCAUUUUCUUUUCAAAGCAUAAAAAUAAAAGAGGAAAGAAACGUGUAGAACUGAAUUAUAAUCAAACAGCAUCCUCUUUAACUAGCAUGUUAGGUCAUAAUACAGAUAUUAUUUUAAGUAAUUAAAAUUCCUGCCAUUUCCAAUGUCAGCUUCAAUUAAACUCAGAGGAACACAGAAAGUACAACUUUGUUAUGCUAUAGCAUAGACAUUUGCAUUACAAAUUUUGCUUUAUAGUCA
Long non-coding RNA from Cyanistes caeruleus (blue tit), 1079 nucleotides. Lineage: Eukaryota; Metazoa; Chordata; Aves; Passeriformes; Paridae. The record is from Ensembl.